CUAUCAUAUGCGCAGAUGGGGAGCCAUCUCAGCAAUAAUUGCAACCGCAAUGACAUGGAAGCUCUCAAGGCUGCAGGGGAUGGCAGAGCAGAAUCAGCAGCUCCUGCUAUCCGUCUGUUCAUUCCAGGACUACCACUUCUCAUAACUUUGCGGUUGCUACCCUUAUUUGCAGGACCUUCCAGCCCAGAAGAACUUGAUCCUGCCUGCUUGCUUGCACCGCGAGUAACUGUAUUUAUAUGUUGCUCAAUAUUAUUCAAUUGCUUAAUCAAAUCGCUUGCAAAUGUAUUGCGUGACUCAUCAGAACC
RNAcentral lists this unclassified non-coding RNA (305 nucleotides) under Hevea brasiliensis (rubber tree). Lineage: Eukaryota; Viridiplantae; Streptophyta; Magnoliopsida; Malpighiales; Euphorbiaceae. The record is from RNAcentral.